AACGCGAAGAACCUUACCUGGACUUGACAUCCUCGGAACCUGCUAGAGAUAGCGGGGUGCUCGCAAGAGAGCCGAGAGACAGGUGCUGCAUGGCUGUCGUCAGCUCGUGUCGUGAGAUGUUGGGUUAAGUCCCGCAACGAGCGCAACCCUCGCCUUUAGUUGCCAUCAUUCAGUUGGGCACUCUAGAGGGACUGCCGGUGUUAAACCGGAGGAAGGUGGGGAUGACGUCAAGUCCUCAUGGCCUUUAUGUCCAGGGCUACACACGUGCUACAAUGGCCGGUACAAAGCGUCGCCAACUCGCAAGAGGGAGCCAAUCGCAAAAAACCGGUCUCAGUUCGGAUUGGAGUCUGCAACUCGACUCCAUGAAGUCGGAAUCGCUAGUAAUCGAAGAUCAGCACGCUUCGGUGAAUACGUUCCCGGGCCUUGUACACACCGGUACUA
RNAcentral lists this ribosomal RNA (441 nucleotides) under uncultured bacterium. RNAcentral describes it as "bacterial SSU rRNA". It matches the Rfam family "Bacterial small subunit ribosomal RNA", at positions 958 to 1398 of the family's 1533-position model. The record is from RNAcentral.